UACGGAGGGUGCAAGCAUUAAUCGGAAUUAUUGGGCGUAAAGGGCGCGUAGGCGGGAGGAAAAGUCAGAUGUGAAAUUCCAAAGCUCAACUUUGGAGCUGCAUUUGAAACUUUCCAUCUUGAGGAUAGGCGGAGAAAAUGGAAUUCCACAAGUAGCGGUGAAAUGCGUAGAUAUGUGGAAGAACACCGGUGGCGAAAGCGGUUUUCUAGCUUAGACCUGACGCUGAGGCGCGAGAGCAAGGGGAGCAAAC
RNAcentral lists this ribosomal RNA (250 nucleotides) under uncultured bacterium. RNAcentral's name for it is "partial 16S ribosomal RNA". It matches the Rfam family "Bacterial small subunit ribosomal RNA", at positions 524 to 773 of the family's 1533-position model. The record is from RNAcentral.